AGCCAUCUUGGAAUUUGUAUGUAAACAAUCUGCAAUAUUUUGCAAUAUCUUUUUUUUGCUCUUUGUGUGUGGAAUUGUAUUGGUGGGAAUAAGAGCAUUGAAAAGUUGAAAGCUCAAGAGAAUAAAUCGACUCUCAGUGUCGGUUGAUGAUGGAGAUAUUUUACCCGCGUUAGUUUUACAGCUAGAGACGUCGGUUAAUCGUUCGAUUAAUUCAAAUAAUCGAAUAUCUGUAACAGUAAUUUUAUACCAAAUAAUGAAUAAUCAAGAAAAUACAGUGCAAAAUUUGUUUAACCAUCAUGGUGUUUCGUCAAAAUUCAUAGAAUAUGCUAAAUCAUUUACGGUAGAAGCUUGAUUCCUAGGUGGUGGAGGAGACUGGGAAGAAGAAUUCAGGGUCUGCAGGAAUAAAAUGCGGACUUGAAGAAGGUGGUCUCAGCUCCCGUUCUAAAAUAGUAGUAUUCAAAUUCAGAGCGCCGAGGAAAAAAUACCAUACUAGUGAUCAAUGAUUCUAUGACCAAGCAGAGAUAUUCAAACAAAUCAGCUAUUUCAACAAACAACAUUCGAAGAACAGAUAAUUUUGAACAGCCAAAAUUUUGGUUGGUGCAAAAAAAUGCAUGUCGGACUCGACUAAUAUCGACAGACUCGAUAAUAUGUGAUUCGAUUAUAUACAAUUUUGAACUCGAUUAUAUACAGUUUGGAAAAAAAUAUUUUUUUUUGUAUUUUAAGUAUGACUUAUUUCAAGAAGGAAGGUAACCUUUUAACGAUAAGGUGAAAUUUAAGUAGCUAUUACAUGUACAGUGGGGUGAAAAUCGUAAUUUUUGAAGAUUUUGCUUGAGUUUUCACCAGUUAUAUCGUUAUAUAGUUAUUGCAGCCAAAUUAAAAAAGCAGAAGUUGGGUGUCAAAAAACAAAUUUUAGAGCGGUUAGAGAGCUUUAAUUUAAUUGAUAGAAAUGAUCUAGUUCAAUAUAAAUUUUCAGGAUAAAAUUAAUAAUAACACAUUAAAUAUUAUUAACUUUCAAGUUUUCCACUUCCAAAAUGUUAAAAUCCACUAAUUUAGAUGUUCCACUACUAUAUCCUGUACAAAAUUUCUCAUAUUUCAAAUGAAAGCAACAGUAGUUUUUAAAGUAGAGCCAGUUUGAGGCAACAAGUCCGAAACAAAAAAAAAAUAUUUCUAUAACUAUUUCAUUGUUGAAAUUCGAACAUAUGCGUAGAAGGAUUUUUAUUCAUCAAAUAUGCUCGUCUAUUACCUCCUGAAAAAAUCUGGAUAGAUUUAUUUUUUUUUCAUGCGAGAAAGGUAUUUUCUGACUUUGAGGGGGUGAAUCAAAAAUCACCUCUUUUAUAUUCAAGAAAUGAAAAAAAACAUACAAAAAACGAUUAAAAACUUUUUUCUGACUCGAUUAUAUACAGUGAAAAGGAAUCAGAAACUAUAUAUAAUAGAGUCCGUCCUGUAUUGUGCAUCAUUUUCAUGGUGUGCUCUUUUUUCAAUCAUCCUCAAAAAAUCAUGAACUUCAAAAUUAUGACAAAUUUUUUUUAUCAUAAAUGUCUGUUUGUUUUGAUUACAAGAAAUAAAUAUUCGCUCGAUUAAUCGAAUACUGAAAGACAAUUAUUCGAAUCAAUCGAAUAUAUAAAAAUCACCCCACGAUUAAUCGACAAUCGAAUAAACGAAAAAUUUAGACAUCUCUAUUUGCAGUCAAAUCCCUUCCCACAAUCCUCUGUAUACUUAUACCGUUUCC
This is a long non-coding RNA of Toxorhynchites rutilus septentrionalis, 1729 nucleotides long. RefSeq lists it as uncharacterized. The record is from RefSeq and is a predicted model, not a curated record. The transcript is spliced from 3 exons. Lineage: Eukaryota; Metazoa; Arthropoda; Insecta; Diptera; Culicidae.